GUUGUCAUGAUUAGCCAUAACACAUAAGGCCAAGCGAUCAAUUGGCUCUUCAAUUAUAUAUGCUUUGUUAUGCUUGGUUUCUGAGCUGA
This is a small nucleolar RNA of Leersia perrieri, 89 nucleotides long. It matches the Rfam family "Small nucleolar RNA R24". Rfam says of the family: snoR24 is a C/D box small nucleolar RNA which acts as a methylation guide for 18S ribosomal RNA in plants. The record is from Rfam. NCBI's taxonomy places the organism in Eukaryota, Viridiplantae, Streptophyta, Magnoliopsida, Poales, Poaceae.